RNAcentral lists this ribosomal RNA (467 nucleotides) under uncultured bacterium. RNAcentral's name for it is "partial 16S ribosomal RNA". It matches the Rfam family "Bacterial small subunit ribosomal RNA", at positions 28 to 506 of the family's 1533-position model. The record is from RNAcentral.
GACGAACGCUGGCGGCGUGCUUAACACAUGCAAGUCGAACGGAAAGGCCCUGCUUUUGUGGGGUGCUCGAGUGGCGAACGGGUGAGUAACACGUGAGUAACCUGCCCUUGACUUUGGGAUAACUUCAGGAAACUGGGGCUAAUACCGGAUAGGAGCUCCUGCUGCAUGGUGGGGGUUGGAAAGUUUCGGCGGUUGGGGAUGGACUCGCGGCUUAUCAGCUUGUUGGUGGGGUAGUGGCUUACCAAGGCUUUGACGGGUAGCCGGCCUGAGAGGGUGACCGGCCACAUUGGGACUGAGAUACGGCCCAGACUUCUACGGGAGGCAGCAGGGGGGAAUAUUGCACAAUGGGCGGAAGCCUGAUGCAGCAACGCCGCGUGCGGGAUGACGGCCUUCGGGUGGUAAACCGCUUUCGCCUGUGACGAAGCGUGAGUGACGGUAAUGGGGAAAGAAGCACCGGCUAACUACGU